CAAGACCUGCGCUUUUGGAGCGGCCGAUGCCUGAUUAGCUUGUUGGUAAGGUAAAAGCUUACCAAGGCUUCGAUCAGUAGCUGGUCUGAGAGGACGACCAGCCACACUGGGACUGAGACACGGCCCAGACUCCUACGGGAGGCAGCAGUGGGGAAUUUUGGACAAUGGGGGCAACCCUGAUCCAGCCAUGCCGCGUGAGUGAAGAAGGCCUUCGGGUUGUAAAGCUCUUUCAGCCGGAACGAAACGGUUACGGUUAACACCCGUGACUACUGACGGUACCGGAAGAAGAAGCACCGGCUAACUACGUGCCAGCAGCCGCGGUAAUACGUAGGGUGCGAGCGUUAAUCGGAAUUACUGGGCGUAAAGCGUGCGCAGGUGGUUUUGUAAGUCAGAUGUGAAAUCCCCGGGCUUAACCUGGGAACU
This 423-nucleotide ribosomal RNA is filed under the name uncultured bacterium. Its description in RNAcentral is "bacterial SSU rRNA". It matches the Rfam family "Bacterial small subunit ribosomal RNA", at positions 207 to 622 of the family's 1533-position model. The record is from RNAcentral.